This 239-nucleotide ribosomal RNA is filed under the name uncultured bacterium. RNAcentral describes it as "partial 16S ribosomal RNA". It matches the Rfam family "Bacterial small subunit ribosomal RNA", at positions 333 to 586 of the family's 1533-position model. The record is from RNAcentral.
GUGUGCCUACGGGGGGCAGCAGUGGGGAAUAUUGGGCAAUGGGCGUAAGCCUGACCCAGCAACGCCGCGUGAAGGAAGAAGGCUUUCGGGUUGUAAACUUCUUUUGUCAGGGACGAAGCAAGUGACGGUACCUGACGAAUAAGCCACGGCUAACUACGUGCCAGCAGCCGCGGUAAUACGUAGGCGGCAAGCGUUAUCCGGAUUUGUUGGGUGUAAAGGGCGUGAAGGCGGGAAUGCAA